This is a long non-coding RNA of Manis javanica (Malayan pangolin), 414 nucleotides long. RefSeq lists it as uncharacterized. Lineage: Eukaryota; Metazoa; Chordata; Mammalia; Pholidota; Manidae. The record is from RefSeq and is a predicted model, not a curated record.
GGAGCCGAGCAGCGCUGGAAUCCAGGGGGAGGCUCGCGACGUGCUUCCCGGGCUUCCGCAGCCGCACAGGCGGGCUGCCAGAGCCAGGAUCAGCACGCGCGAUUGCCACCACCCCAAUAAGCAAGGGAGGCAGCGGCAGGAGGACUCGGGGCUGUGCACCCAACCAGUAACUCUCUCUAUGUUCAGAAGGAAUCAGCGGCAGUGAAGGACCCUGGGAAGCAGGGAAGAAUCUGAACUGCGAUGACUUGCUGCCCUUCUGGCUUUGAAGUGCUGCUCUGGCCGCUGUUGGGCAACCUGAACUUGUACUGAAAGCAGCAAACGUGCCAAUUAAGAGUUCUAAUGUUUAGCAGUUGUCUCUGAGUUUACUUGUGUAAGAACAGAACUUCUGUAGUAACACAAAUAAUGAUUUCAACU